This 587-nucleotide ribosomal RNA is filed under the name uncultured bacterium. Its description in RNAcentral is "bacterial SSU rRNA". It matches the Rfam family "Bacterial small subunit ribosomal RNA", at positions 338 to 916 of the family's 1533-position model. The record is from RNAcentral.
CCUACGGGAGGCAGCAGUGGGGAAUAUUGGACAAUGGGCGCAAGCCUGAUCCAGCCAUGCCGCGUGUGUGAAGAAGGCCUUCGGGUUGUAAAGCACUUUUGUCCGGAAAGAAAAGCAUUCGGUUAAUAACCGGGUGUCCUGACGGUACCGGAAGAAUAAGCACCGGCUAACUUCGUGCCAGCAGCUGCGGUAAUACGAAGGGUGCAAGCGUUACUCGGAAUUACUGGGCGUAAAGCGUGCGUAGGUGGUUCGUUAAGUCUGAUGUGAAAGCCCUGGGCUCAACCUGGGAAUGGCAUUGGAUACUGGCGACCUAGAGUGCGGUAGAGGGGUGCGGAAUUCCCGGUGUAGCAGUGAAAUGCGUAGAUGUCGGGAGGAACAUCUGUGGCGAAGGCGGCACCCUGGACCAGCACUGACACUGAGGCACGAAAGCGUGGGGAGCAAACAGGAUUAGAUACCCUGGUAGUCCACGCCCUAAACGAUGCGAACUGGAAGUUGGGGGCAACUUGGCCCUCAGUUUCGAAGCUAACGCGUUAAGUUCGCCGCCUGGGAAGUACGGUCGCAAGACUGAAACUCAAAGGAAUUGACGG